RNAcentral lists this ribosomal RNA (253 nucleotides) under uncultured bacterium. RNAcentral's name for it is "partial 16S ribosomal RNA". It matches the Rfam family "Bacterial small subunit ribosomal RNA", at positions 524 to 776 of the family's 1533-position model. The record is from RNAcentral.
UACGUAGGGUGCGAGCGUUGUCCGGAAUUAUUGGGCGUAAAGGGCUCGUAGGCGGUCUGUCGCGUCGGUAGUGAAAACUCAGGGCUUAACCCUGAGCCUGCUUCCGAUACGGGCAGACUAGAGGUAUGCAGGGGAGAACGGAAUUCCUGGUGUAGCGGUGAAAUGCGCAGAUAUCAGGAGGAACACCGGUGGCGAAGGCGGUUCUCUGGGCAUUGCCUGACGCUGAGGAGCGAAAGUGUGGGGAGCGAACAGG